Molecule: ribosomal RNA, 324 nt
Filed under: uncultured eukaryote
Lineage: Eukaryota
Description: partial 18S ribosomal RNA
Rfam family: Eukaryotic small subunit ribosomal RNA
Source: RNAcentral
CCCUUAGAUGUUCUGGGCUGCACGCGCGCUACACUGAUGCGCUCAACGAGUUUUAACCUUGCCUGGAAAGGUUGGGUAAUCUUUUUAAAACGCAUCGUGAUGGGGAUAGAUUAUUGCAAUUAUUAAUCUUCAACGAGGAAUUCCUAGUAAGCGCGAGUCGUCAGCUCGUGCUGAUUACGUCCCUGCCCUUUGUACACACCGCCCGUCGCUCCUACCGAUCGAAGAGUUAGGUGAAUUGUUUUGAUCGAUAAGAUUUGACUAUGGUCAACUCUCGUUGUGAAAUUCUGUGAAUCUGACUGUUUAGAGGAAGGAAAAGUCGUAACA